This 253-nucleotide ribosomal RNA is filed under the name uncultured bacterium. RNAcentral describes it as "partial 16S ribosomal RNA". It matches the Rfam family "Bacterial small subunit ribosomal RNA", at positions 794 to 1040 of the family's 1533-position model. The record is from RNAcentral.
UCCAUGCUGUAAACUAUGGACACUAGGUAUGGGGAGUAUCGACCCUCUCUGUGCCGAAGCUAACGCUUUAAGUGUCCCGCCUGGGGACUACGGCCGCAAGGCUAAAACUCAAAGGAAUUGACGGGGGCCCGCACAAGCAGCGGAGCGUGUGGUUUAAUUCGAUGCAACGCGAAGAACCUUACCAAGGUUUGACAUGUCGGAAGUAGUGACCUGAAAGGGAAGCGACCUGUUAAGUCAGGAGCCGUCACAGGUG